Molecule: ribosomal RNA, 382 nt
Filed under: uncultured bacterium
Lineage: Bacteria
Description: bacterial SSU rRNA
Rfam family: Bacterial small subunit ribosomal RNA
Source: RNAcentral
UGGGGAAUUUUGGACAAUGGGCGCAAGCCUGAUCCAGCCAUACCGCGUGAGUGAAGAAGGCCUUCGGGUUGUAAAGCUCUUUCAGACGGAAAGAAACGGUUACGGCUAAUACCCGUGACUAAUGACGGUACCGUAAGAAGAAGCACCGGCUAACUACGUGCCAGCAGCCGCGGUAAUACGUAGGGUGCGAGCGUUAAUCGGAAUUACUGGGCGUAAAGCGUGCGCAGGCGGUUUGGUAAGACAGAUGUGAAAUCCCCGGGCUUAACCUGGGAACUGCAUUUGUGACUGCCAGACUAGAGUGUAGCAGAGGGGGGUAGAAUUCCACGUGUAGCAGUGAAAUGCGUAGAUAUGUGGAGGAAUACCGAUGGCGAAGGCAGCCCCC